UUAUAUUAUCCCUUAAGCCCAAUGAAGAUAAUAAAUUUAAUUGAAUUUUCAUUUUAUUUUCUUUGGUACUGGGGCUCACACCCAAGGCCUUACACACAGUCUGGGUAAAUACUCUACCACUAAGUAGUAUCUAUAGUCCUAAAGCUUUCUUUCUGUCCUUCCCUUGGGUUGAUUCUAUUGCUUUUAACUUUGGUUCACUGAUAUUUUAUUUUUUCAGUAUUCAAUGUGCUGUUAAUCAGAUCCCCAAACAUGUUUAUUUCAGAUGUUAUAUUUUCAUAUGUAGAGCUUCCGUUUUGUGUCACCGUUUCUGUUUCAUUAUGUAUGUUUGCUUUAAAUAUUUGAUUAGUUAUAAUACCUGUUUUAAUAGCCUUAUCUUCUAAUUUUUCAUCAUUUCUAUAUCUGCAUCUAUAGAUUGACUAUUUAAUUUAUUUUUUUAUUAUUGAUCAGUUUCCUGCUUCUUGGCAGUGUUUAAUAACUUUUGAUAAAAGUAGAGGUAGUAAAUCAAACAUUUUGUAGAUUUUAAAGAAAACUUGUGAUUAGGUAUUUUGCACGCUAAAGUGUUUUGCAG
RNAcentral lists this long non-coding RNA (568 nucleotides) under Marmota monax (woodchuck). Lineage: Eukaryota; Metazoa; Chordata; Mammalia; Rodentia; Sciuridae. The record is from RNAcentral.